RNAcentral lists this ribosomal RNA (280 nucleotides) under uncultured Pseudomonadota bacterium. RNAcentral's name for it is "uncultured proteobacterium partial 16S ribosomal RNA". It matches the Rfam family "Bacterial small subunit ribosomal RNA", at positions 338 to 610 of the family's 1533-position model. The record is from RNAcentral. Lineage: Bacteria; Pseudomonadati; Pseudomonadota.
CCUACGGGAGGCAGCAGUGGGGAAUCUUGGACAAUGGGGGAAACCCUGAUCCAGCAAUGCCGCGUGUGGGAUGAAGGCCCUCGGGUUGUAAACCACUUUUGGCAGGAAAGAAAUCGCUUGUGCUAAUACCAUGGGCGGAUGACGGUACCUGCAGAAUAAGCACCGGCUAACUACGUGCCAGCAGCCGCGGUAAUACGUAGGGUGCGAGCGUUAAUCGGAAUUACUGGGCGUAAAGCGUGCGUAGGCGGUUUUGUAAGACAGAUGUGAAAUCCCCGGGCUC